This 1223-nucleotide long non-coding RNA is filed under the name Oncorhynchus kisutch (coho salmon). RNAcentral describes it as "lncRNA (ENSOKIG00005006359.1)". The record is from RNAcentral. Lineage: Eukaryota; Metazoa; Chordata; Actinopteri; Salmoniformes; Salmonidae.
UGUGGGCAGAACGUAAAAAGUGUGUGUGAGCAAAGAAGCCUACAAACCUGAUUCAGUUACACUAGCUCUGUCAGGAGGAAUGGGCCAAAAUUCACCCAAUUUAUUGUGGGAAACUUGUGGAAGGCUACCCGAAACGUUUGACCCAAGUUAAACAAUUUAAAGGCAAUGCCACACUCAAUUAGUAUUUGGUUCGUAAACUUCUGACCCACUGGGAAUGUGAUGAAAGAAAUAAAAGCUGAAAUAAAUCAUUCUCUCUACUAUUAUUCUGAAAUUUCAAAUUUUUUAAAUAAAGUGAUGAUCCUAACUGACCUAAAACAGGGACUUUUUUACUAGGAUUACAUGUCAGGAAUUGUGAAAAGGUGUAUGUAAACUUCCGACUUCAACUGUAUAUAUUCCCUCGAACUACUCGGAGACACUUUUGGAAAAAAGAAGCACUUUAACUUUAGGAUCGGACAUUUUGAGGAUCGUGAUUUUGGGACUAAGGUAACUAACAUCCGAAUAUAUACUUAAAUAUACAUAUUUGGAAAAUGACAUGACAAUGAAUUGGAGAUUUGACGAUUUUAAUGACAUAUACAUAGACUUUCUAAACCAUUUGAGGCCGUCUGUGUUGAGGUUUUCAAGUUGUUUAAAGAGAAUUCAGGCAAAGUUAUAGAGGCCCGUCUGUGUUGAGGUAUUGUCAUGACUCCUACCGAAGGUGGCUCCACUUCCUGUUCGGGUGGCGCUCGGCGGUCGUCGUCACCGGUCCACUACCUGCCACCGAUCCCUUUUUCCCCCUUUUCUGUUUAUUGGUUUCACCUGUGUUUAGUUUAGGCUGAUUGGUUGGGCUUUUAUUACCCGCCUGCUGGUUUUGCGGGAUUAUUUCGAUGUUCCUGUGUACACGGCUGUAUGUCACGGGUGUCCGUGUGUUUGGGUUUUUGCUGGACUGUUUAAAUCCCCCGUGUUUGGGGCAUUUGUUUUGGUUGGCGUCUGUUCACCGUUGUGGUGCAUUAAAAGUGAGCGCAACCCUGAACUCUCUGCUUCCUGCGCCUGACUUCUUCCCCGCUACUCCCCGGGCGCUACAGUACAUUACCCAUCCUGACAACCUGGCGCUAAUUUAGAAGCUUCUGGAAGCACCAUCCAAGCAAGAAAAUAAACACACCGCAGACUACAUGUACAUGUGAGUAUAAGUACAAUGUAAUUAAUAGGCGUUACACAGAAUUUAGUUUCGUAUUUCGUAUUUCUAU